AAUCAACCCAACAUGAAUUAAAUUCAAGAUAAAUUGAUUAAAAUAACCAUUUCAACAACAAUAUUUUUCAUAGAUAUGUUCAUCAUAAAAACAACAGAAAUUAAAAAGAAAGGGAACAGAAAGCAAAUCCAGUGUUUCUCUGCGGCUUGACUGUUGCUCCGUUCUUAGUCUCCGUUUUCUUCGCCGAGCAAGGCUUUUAUGAAUCCUUGAUUGCUGCCCAAGAUGGCUGAAGAACACCUCUUUCUCAAGAGAGGAAAUCGGCACAAGAGGAAGGGAAAAUGGGAUAGAGAAAUGGAAAGGAAACUUUGAGAGAAGUGAAGAGAGGAUGAGAAAUGUUGUGGAAUGAGGGAUGUUGAGGGAUGCUUUGAAAUAGGCAGCAUAGGGUGGCUUUUAUAGCUAAAUAGGGCUGCUAAAAAUAGAAAAUUCAGCAGCCAAGAGAGCCCUCCCAUGGCCGGCCACACACAUGGCAAGGUUGAAGCUUUCACCCUUGCUAAAAAUAGGCUGGGGCAAAUCUACAAAGCCUAAAAUAAAGGUGGGGUUUGAAUGUAAUUUGGAGGUUUUUCAAAAGCUUUUUUGCAAGCAUAUUUUAUCAGCUAAUUUGCUGAUUUGGGUCAGCCAAUGGACGGUUUUGGUCAGCCCAAUUAGUGGCUGGUUCGGCUCACUUCAUUCGGUUCAACCAGUGCGGUUCACUAGGUCCUUUCUUCAUAAUUAAUUAAAAUUAAUUCAUUUAACCUAAAUUAAAUAGGAAAUAAAUUAAAAUUAAUUUAAUUAUGAAUUAAUACACAUUUCUGGACCGUCUUGGGCUGGAAAUUAAUUGGCCUCGAUACUUCAAAUUGCUCUCAGUUUUGUUCUUCUCGCAGUGUUCACCGGACCCUUUUUCUCCAAUUGUGUAAUUCUGUCAAAAAUAACCAAAUUUAAUCAAAAUUAACUACAAAAUUAAUUAAAAUUCAUAAUGUUCAUAUUUUUAACAUAAUUUAAUUAUUUUAUAAUAUUUAAUUAUUUUUUUGACAAGAAUUUAACCGAAUUUGCAUGAAUUUAAGUAGAAUUGGGUAUGAAAAAGUAUAUAAAUUUUUGUGUUUCCAAACACGACUCUUCAUUCCUUUGAAAACUCGAUUGAUUUUUGACUUCCAAAAGCUCUUAGGUUAAAAAUUACAAAAGGAUGUCCAGAUAUUUAGUCCGACAAGAAAUCGAAACCCAGCACGAUUCCACGAAUUUCCCAAUAUCAAACAUUACUUUCGUUUUAGUGAAUUUUCAAAAAAAUAAUAUGUGAAAUAACAUAAAAACUAAAAAAAUGACAUAUAAUAUGCAGAACAAUAUGAAAACUAAGAGCCAAUAUAUUACAAAACAAUUUAAAAAUCAUAUGAAACAUAUACAAAGGAAUAACACAUGCUAGAAUUCGAAAUAACUUAUAUGUAUAUAAAACUAGUAAAAUAUAAAUGAUUAUUAGAAUAUAUAUUAUGUAAAAAAAAUUCAAAAUAAUAAUAUAUAGGAUAAUUUCAAAUAAAAAAAAUUGAUUUAACUAAUGAUAUAUUUGAAACCUGAAAACUUAAUAUAAAUAAUGUAUAUACAAAUAUGCUAAUUUGUGAAAGUGUUUAAUGUAAAUAAGAUAUACAUAAAUAAAUAGAUUAGAUACAUAAAUAAAUUUAAAAGACAAUAUAUAUAUACAUAAAGAUUUAAAAGAAAAUAUCUACAUAAAAUAAUAUAAAAUCAACAAUAUGUACCAAAAAAAUAAUGAACAACAAUUCAAAACUGAUGAUAUAGGAAACAUUUAGGUAUAUAUAAAUGUAAAAAAUAAUUUUGUGAUGAAACAAUAUAAAUGAUAUACAAAACAAUAUAUAUAUAUAUAUGUAUAUAUAAAUAAAUAAUGUACAUAAAAUACAAAUAGUUUAAUAUAAAUAAUAUAUACAAAAAUAAUAUAAUAUUUGAAGCAAAGAAUGUUCAUAAAAGAGAAUUUUGAAAUAAACAAGUUAUAUAAUAAAACAAAACGAAAAUAUACAAAAGGAGAUGAAACUAGAACAGUGAAAUCAAUAAAAUAAUUCAAAAUAAUAUACUAAGAUAAUCUGUCAAAAAAAAUGAAUGAUGAAUAAUUCAUAAAAAUACAACAAUAUGAACUAAGAAACUUAAUUGGAAUAAAAACAAGAUCAGAAGGAUAAUUCACAAAUAAAUCAGAUUGUUAAAAUAGAAUUUAGGACCAGACUAAAAUGCGCUCAAAUGAGCAGGGACUUGGAAUGAAAAUAUACCGAAUCUCAAAACGCAGUGCUCAAAUAUGGAUUAAAUUGUAACAACGCGCAAAUCUCAGGGAAAAUGUAAAAAAUGAAUAAAACACGAUUGAGGCCUAAUUUGAGAUCGGCGCAGGAGGGGAGGGACUACGUGCAAAUUGACCUUUCAAGGUGAAAAUGCGCGGAUCCGAGCCUCCAAACAGGUCAACGUGCGGAUCUUUGUUUCCAAACGAUGCUGUUUCACUUUGUUAACACCAGAUCAAAAGAAAGGAAAAGAAAACCCUAAAAUUAACACUCAUCCACUUAAAAGCAAAUCAAAAAUAAAAAAACCUAAAGCUUAUUCCUCUUUAUUCAUUCGGCCGAACUUAAGGCAUCUUUCAACUGUCGAUCUAUCCCCAUAUUCGGCAAAUGAACAUCGCAUGAAGGCAUAAUCUGGCCUUGUUCGACCACGAGUCCACUCAGAAGCUUCAAGAUUCUCGCUUAAGCUUCGAUUACGACGAAGCAAGCAAAGACAUGAAGGAGCCAGCAUUAAGGUAAGUCAUUUUCUCCUUAUUUUUCUGUGAAAAAUCUAUAUGUAGGAACAAAGAAAAAAAACUAAAUCAGAACACGAAAAAAUAAAUAUGAAAUCACCUUAGUUUUUCAUUGCUUUUUCUUUUGUAUCUCGCAUUUCGUAAUCUCCAUUUUUACAGAUUACAUUCGGUUUUAUAGCUGAAGAGAAGAAAAAAUAAGAAUAAAUCAAAAAUAUCCAAUUUCCUUGCUGUUAUUUCUGUUUCUCGUGUAUUCUGUUGCAGGUACGAACAGAGCCAGCUGGAGGUGGUGACGCACGUGGGAUGAGGCAUGAAGACGCAUGUGGGGCUGGUACGGAGGCUGCAGCGGUUCGGUGGAAGCUACUGGAAACCAGCUACAGUGCAAGGGAAAGGGACCUUAGAGUUCCAAAAUAUUCAAUUUGCUUAGGUUAUUUGGGCCAAUUUUGGAAUUGGGCCAUUGGGUCUAUAAAUUAAGUUUAGCUUGGGUAAUAAUUUGGGCUAAAAACUUGUAUUUGGGUCUGGUGAAAAUUGUAAUGAAUUAUUUUGGAUUUUUGGCUUUAAUUUAAUUUGGGACUUUUUUAUA
RNAcentral lists this long non-coding RNA (3329 nucleotides) under Gossypium barbadense (sea-island cotton). Its description in RNAcentral is "long non-coding RNA (GBAR_LNC011222)". The record is from RNAcentral. Lineage: Eukaryota; Viridiplantae; Streptophyta; Magnoliopsida; Malvales; Malvaceae.